RNAcentral lists this ribosomal RNA (463 nucleotides) under uncultured bacterium. Its description in RNAcentral is "bacterial SSU rRNA". It matches the Rfam family "Bacterial small subunit ribosomal RNA", at positions 331 to 792 of the family's 1533-position model. The record is from RNAcentral.
CCAGACUCCUACGGGAGGCAGCAGUGAGGAAUAUUGGUCAAUGGGCGCGAGCCUGAACCAGCCAAGUCGCGUGAGGGAUGAAGGAUCUAUGGUUCGUAAACCUCUUUUAUAAGGGAAUAAAGUGCGGGACGCGUCCCGCUUCGCAUGUACCUUAUGAAUAAGGAUCGGCUAACUCCGUGCCAGCAGCCGCGGUAAUACGGAGGAUGCGAGCGUUAUCCGGAUUUAUUGGGUUUAAAGGGUGCGUAGGCGGGCUGUUAAGUCAGCGGUCAAAUGUCGGGGCUCACCCCCGGCCUGCCGUUGAAACUGGCGGCCUCGAGUGGGCGAGAAGUAUGCGGAAUGCGUGGUGUAGCGGUGAAAUGCAUAGAUAUCACGCAGAACUCCGAUUGCGAAGGCAGCAUACCGGCGCCCUACUGACGCUGAGGCACGAAAGCGUGGGUAUCGAACAGGAUUAGAUACCCUCGUA